ACGCUGGCGGCGUGCCUAAUACAUGCAAGUAGAACGCUGAAGGAGGAGCUUGCUUCUCCGGAUGAGUUGCGAACGGGUGAGUAACGCGUAGGUGACCUGCCUGGUAGCGGGGGAUAACUAUUGGAAACGAUAGCUAAUACCGCAUAAGAGUAGAUGUUGCAUGACAUUUGCUUAAAAGGUGCAAUUGCAUCACUACCAGAUGGACCUGCGUUGUAUUAGCUAGUUGGUGGGGUAACGGCUCACCAAGGCGACGAUACAUAGCCGACCUGAGAGGGUGAUCGGCCACACUGGGACUGAGACACGGCCCAGACUCCUACAGGAGGCAGCAGUAGGGAAUCUUCGGCAAUGGACGGAAGUCUGACCGAGCAACGCCGCGUGAGUGAAGAAGGUUUUCGGAUCGUAAAGCUCUGUUGUAAGAGAAGAACGAGUGUGAGAGUGGAAAGUUCACACUGUGACGGUAUCUUACCAGAAAGGGACGGCUAACUACGUGCCAGCAGCCGCGGUAAUACGUAGGUCCCGAGCGUUGUCCGGAUUUAUUGGGCGUAAAGCGAGCGCAGGCGGUUAGAUAAGUCUGAAGUUAAAGGCUGUGGCUUAACCAUAGUACGCUUUGGAAACCGUUUAACUUGAGUGCAAGAGGGGAGAGUGGAAUUCCAUGUGUAGCGGUGAAAUGCGUAGAUAUAUGGAGGAACACCGGUGGCGAAAGCGGCUCUCUGGCUUGUAACUGACGCUGAGGCUCGAAAGCGUGGGGAGCAAACAGGAUUAGAUACCCUGGUAGUCCACGCCGUAAACGAUGAGUGCUAGGUGUUAGACCCUUUCCGGGGUUUAGUGCCGCAGCUAACGCAUUAAGCACUCCGCCUGGGGAGUACGACCGCAAGGUUGAAACUCAAAGGAAUUGACGGGGGGCCCCGCACAAGCGGU
This 918-nucleotide ribosomal RNA is filed under the name uncultured bacterium. RNAcentral describes it as "bacterial SSU rRNA". It matches the Rfam family "Bacterial small subunit ribosomal RNA", at positions 33 to 933 of the family's 1533-position model. The record is from RNAcentral.